Molecule: ribosomal RNA, 486 nt
Filed under: uncultured bacterium
Lineage: Bacteria
Description: bacterial SSU rRNA
Rfam family: Bacterial small subunit ribosomal RNA
Source: RNAcentral
CAAUGGACGCAAGUCUGACCCAGCCAUGCCGCGUGCAGGAUGACAGCCUUAUGGGUUGUAAACUGCUUUUAUCAGGGAAUAACCCCCCGUACGUGUACGGGGCUGAAUGUACCUGAAGAAUAAGCAUCGGCUAACUCCGUGCCAGCAGCCGCGGUAAUACGGAGGAUGCAAGCGUUAUCCGGAUUUAUUGGGUUUAAAGGGUGCGCAGGCGGAUAAGUAAGUCAGUGGUGAAAUCUCUCGGCUCAACCGAGAAACUGCCAUUGAUACUGUUUAUCUUGAGUGUAAAUGAAGUGGGCGGAAUGUAGCAUGUAGCGGUGAAAUGCAUAGAUAUGCUACAGAACACCAAUUGCGAAGGCAGCUCACUAAAUUACAACUGACGCUCAUGCACGAAAGCGUGGGGAUCAAACAGGAUUAGAUACCCUGGUAGUCCACGCUGUAAACGAUGAUUACUCGUUGUGGCGAUACACAGUCAGCGACCAAGCGAAA